Long non-coding RNA from Salvia miltiorrhiza (redroot sage), 1279 nucleotides. RefSeq lists it as uncharacterized. The record is from RefSeq and is a predicted model, not a curated record. Lineage: Eukaryota; Viridiplantae; Streptophyta; Magnoliopsida; Lamiales; Lamiaceae. The transcript is spliced from 3 exons.
CCCAUCAGCCACUUUAACACCUUUCCAACCACCCAUCCACUCUUUCCCUUUCCAACCACCCAUCCACUCUUUCCACCUAAAGAAUUUCCUUUCCAACCACACACGAUACAUUGUCUCCCCAAAAUCACAACUUUAGCCAUAUUUUUUUUUUAAGCAAUCAGCCAUACUUUUGUUAAAUCAAUCACAUGCAAAUCAAUAUUUUACAACAAUCAAUCCACUUGGAAAUUUCCUCACAAGCUCUUCUUCAUCCCUGAAGUGCGCAGCAACCAUAGUGAUUCCAGCAAACAAGCAAAUUCAGAAUCAGGCAGCAACCAUUUCACAUCCUAAAUACCUAAAGGCUUUGAGCAUCAGGAGGAUUAGCACUGCUAUUUCGAUUCAGAGAUAAGGUUAAACGACAGGCUUUGCCUAGACAGGUGGGCUUAUUUUUCAAAUGUAUGAUUUAGCUAUUGAGCUUAAAUAUUCGUGUAAUAUAAACUGUUUAUCCAAUAAAAUAUUUUUGUGCACUCUACCAUGUUUAAUGCUCGUACAGUUAAUCAAUUGAGGUUCUCUUAUGACCUAAAACGUUGUUUGAGAAUUGUGUACACUUGUUAGCUGACUCGGUGGGUUGAUCUCCAUCGGGCACUAACCAGAGGCGUUAUAAGGGUGCUCGACGGGAUGUGUUCCGGAGCAUAGAAAUGAUAGGCCUGUCUGGAUUAAUUUCCGAGGUUUAUUAUACUUGGCUGGGUUACGCCCUCAGUUCAAGUCAGCGGGAGACAGAGAUCCGUCGGUGGCUAGAGGUCCGGGAUCACAGCGAGUAACAGAAUGGAGUGUGCAAACGCGCGCAAAAUAAUUAAGUAUAUAUAUAUGAAAAUGUUUUAACAUGCAUAGAAGUUAUUUCUCUUUAAAACCUUCUAUGUCAUGUCAGUAAGAUUGGAUAAACUGUUCUUCAGAUUAUGAAAUGCUUUAAAAGUUGCAGCCCACUAAGUACAUUAGUACUUAGCCCAAAAUUACUUUCAAAUGUUUUCAGGUUAAUGGCUGGUGAUGACGGGGCAGAGCUGAGGCUAGGGUUCAACUCCGUAUUUUGUCUUCCGCUAUUGCACUAGCUUUUAUUUGUCUUUUAUUUCUCCAACUUAAGACUUUUAUGUUAAAUUCUGAAUUAUGUUUCUUAUCGAGCUUAAACUCUCAACUUCUAGCUCUAUGUUAUUAACGUUGGUUAUCGGAAGCAUGAAACCGAACUUGUGAUCCUAAGGCUUAGAAUGUUGUUGAUUGAUUAAUAUCACUUGAUUUUUGUCUUUCUUCA